UUAAAAAGCUCGUAGUUGAAUUUCGGGGUUAGUAGGUUGGUCAUGCCUCUGGUAUGUACUGGUCUCACUGAUUCCUCCCUCCUGAUGAACCGUAAUGCCAUUAAUUUGGUGUUGCGGGGAAUUUGGACUGUUACUUUGAAAAAAUUAGAGUGUUUAAAGCAAGCUAACGCUUGAAUACAUUAGCAUGGAAUAAUGAAAUAGGACGUUCGAUCCUAUUUUGUUGGUUUCUAGGAUUGACGUAAUGAUUAAUAGGGAUAGUUGGGGG
RNAcentral lists this ribosomal RNA (265 nucleotides) under uncultured Glomus. RNAcentral describes it as "partial 18S ribosomal RNA". It matches the Rfam family "Eukaryotic small subunit ribosomal RNA", at positions 619 to 888 of the family's 1831-position model. The record is from RNAcentral. Lineage: Eukaryota; Fungi; Glomeromycota; Glomeromycetes; Glomerales; Glomeraceae.